ACUGAUGCAGAGUUGGGAUUGCUUCUUUCCUAAAUCAAAAUUCCUGUUGAGCCAGUAAGAACAGAUUCCCCACUGCACCGAUGUCCGGCACGCAGUCCCCAGGCGGGCACACUGCCCAGCACCCCGGGGGCAGGAGCUCAGAGCUGACUUGCUUCUUGCCCAGGUCUGGGGUUGGUGCAGUGCCCGCAGCUCACGGGCCACAGCAGCGGAAGGUCUGCGGCGUUUUGGACCUUGCUGUUGCCGGGGCAGUGGGUGUUGGCGCCACAUCCAGGACCUGCCUGGUGCCGCUGCCAUCACAGUGAAGCUGGACUGAAACCCACAGACAGGCCCAGCCCUGCCGGGCAGGUGUGAUCAGGCUGGCGCUGCGGAAAAGCCCCACUAGGCAGGGCGAGUGCUCCCCCAAGUGCCGCAGCCUGUUCGUGCUGGAGACCGUGUGCGUGGCCUGGUUCUCCUUCGAGUUCCUGCUGCGCUCCCUGCAGGCCGAGAGCAAGUGCGCCUUCCUGCGCGCGCCGCUCAACAUCAUCGACAUCCUGGCGCUCCUGCCGUUCUACGUGUCGCUGCUGCUGGGGCUGGCGGCAGGCCCGGGCGGGACCAAGCUCCUGGAGCGCGCGGGGCUGGUGCUGCGGCUGCUGCGUGCGCUGCGCGUGCUCUACGUGAUGCGCCUGGCGCGCCACUCGCUGGGGCUGCGUUCGCUGGGCCUGACCGUGCGCCGCUGCGCGCGCGAGUUCGGGCUGCUGCUGCUGUUCCUCUGCGUGGCCAUGGCGCUCUUCGCGCCACUGGUGCACCUGGCCGAGCGCGAGCUGGGCGCGCGCCGCGACUUCUCCAGCGUGCCCGCCAGCUACUGGUGGGCCGUCAUCUCCAUGACCACCGUGGGCUACGGCGACAUGGUCCCGCGCAGCCUGCCCGGGCAGGUGGUGGCGCUCAGCAGCAUCCUCAGCGGCAUUCUGCUCAUGGCCUUCCCGGUCACCUCCAUCUUCCACACCUUUUCACGCUCCUACUCCGAGCUCAAGGAGCAGCAGCAGCGCGCGGCCAGCCCCGAGCCGGCCCUGCAGGAGGACAGCACGCACUCGGCCACGGCCACCGAGGACAGCUCGCAGGGCCCCGACAGCGUGGGCCUGGCCGACGACUCCGCGGAUGCGCUGUGGGUGCGGGCAGGGCGCUGACGCCUGCGCCGCCCGCACGGAGACCCCCUGACCCCUCCAGCUGCAGCGUCGGGACCCCCGAGGUGCGCCAAGGGGUGGGGGGCGUCUGGCCUGGGGGAGCGGCUCCUGCCGGCCGCGUCCUCGGCCCUCGUGCGUGAGCAGCCCCAGAACUUGGCGGGGCCCUGCCUGACUCCCCGUGGCAGCGCUGGGCAAAGUCACUGGCCUUUGUCCUCCUGCCCCACCCCUUUCCUUGGAUUUUUAAUUUUCUACGCCUAGCUAAAAAUAAAUUUAGUAAGUCCGAGAGAUUCCACGCCUGCUGUGGAUGACUUCAUCCCCCUUCUGAUUUUUCCUGCCUCCAGCCAGGGAGGAGGGAGCACGGCCCCUGCCAAGCCCCCAUGGCAU
Molecule: small RNA, 1544 nt
Filed under: Pan troglodytes (chimpanzee)
Lineage: Eukaryota; Metazoa; Chordata; Mammalia; Primates; Hominidae
Description: processed transcript
Source: RNAcentral